RNAcentral lists this ribosomal RNA (253 nucleotides) under uncultured bacterium. Its description in RNAcentral is "partial 16S ribosomal RNA". It matches the Rfam family "Bacterial small subunit ribosomal RNA", at positions 524 to 776 of the family's 1533-position model. The record is from RNAcentral.
UACGUAGGGGGCAAGCGUUGUCCGGAUUUAUUGGGCGUAAAGAGCGUGUAGGCGGUUUGGUAGGUCCGUUGUGAAAACUCGAGGCUCAACCUCGAGACGCCGAUGGAAACCAUCAGACUAGAGUCCGGAAGAGGAGAGUGGAAUUCCAUGUGUAGCGGUGAAAUGCGUAGAGAUAUGGAGGAACACCAGUGGCGAAGGCGACUUUCUGGUCUGUAACUGACACUGAGGCGCGAAAGCGUGGGGAGCAAACAGG